RNAcentral lists this long non-coding RNA (741 nucleotides) under Medicago truncatula (barrel medic). RNAcentral describes it as "lncRNA gene25080". Lineage: Eukaryota; Viridiplantae; Streptophyta; Magnoliopsida; Fabales; Fabaceae. The record is from RNAcentral.
GGACCUAGAAAAACUCAAAACUCUUGUUAAACCCAACAGGUAAUAGCACAUCAGUUCAUCCAACCCAGAAAAGGGCGACAUUUUUUCACUUUCUCCCUCAACCGCCGGUAGCAUGCGUUAGCAGAACAGAACAAACUGAACAGAGUAUCUGCAAGCAAAGCAAGAAUAAUGAAGAAAAGGAAACGAUUCUGAUUCCGAUUGAAAAGAAUGAAGAAGAUUGAUAUUCCGAAACCGUUAAGGGAUUAAUCUCACUUUUGGAGAGUCCCAAUAGAAAAGUUUUUAUCUCCGCUUGCAAUACACUCUUGGAUUUCUCUACCACCGCUUUCGCCCAACAACAAUUUCCCAGGAAAAUUGAUGCUGUUUGAGAUUCCCAAUUGAAGGGAUUGGGGUUUUGAUUCGGCAGCGUUGCGAUGACAUAAGGUUUGCUACAGAGAUGACAACAAAAGCUUUGAUGACGACGGCGAUAGAAACUCUUUGCACGACGGCGGCGACAGAGUAUGUGGAUGGUGCUAAAAAGUUGCACGACGGCGGCGAUUGAAGCAUCAAUUUCUUCUUCUCUUUUUUGUUACGAGGUUCAAUUGUUUGUGGUUUUUUUUUUUAUGGAUGGUGUUAAUAACUAGUUUAGUUUUAAACUGGUUUAAUUGUUUUUCAACCGGUUUUGAUAAUUUAGAUCCAAUCCAUUUCAUUGAUGCUGUUUGAGAUCCAAUCCAUUCCAUUUCAACCGGUUUUUCCUUUCCUUAU